Coccinella septempunctata (seven-spotted ladybird) is the source of this 565-nucleotide long non-coding RNA. RefSeq lists it as uncharacterized. The transcript has 2 exons. Lineage: Eukaryota; Metazoa; Arthropoda; Insecta; Coleoptera; Coccinellidae. The record is from RefSeq and is a predicted model, not a curated record.
UACUUUAUAUGAAAAAUUGCAGUGUGAAUUAUAAUUUAAAAUUCGCCCAGAACUAGUCGGUUUUCUAUACCAGUUUGUGAUCAGAGAGCCAUCAUUUUUUUUGUGAACUGUGACGUCCAAAAAUGGCAAAGAAUUGUCCCUUUCCAUCUCCAAAGUGAAUUGGAUGCGAUGAUGGAAUUGGUUGAAAACAGUUAAAAGUUCUUCACAUUUGUUGGUCGGAAUUAUUAAAAACAUGUCAUCCACAUACAAUUUAAGAAGCAGGAUAUCAAAAGACAAAUUCAUUACAGUGAGUUGGGAAUUCAACUUUUUUAACAACAUAUUCUAGACUCCACCUGUGUUGAACAGGUUAAAAUCGAAAUAAAUAUUUCAGUUUCGGAACACUCAUUGAAUGUAAUACGUCGUUGUGAUGAUUUGUAUUUUGCCUCAAAAUUUUAGACGGAGUUUUCCUAAGCUUCUCUACAAGUUCGAUUCCAAUUUGCUCAACAAGCUAAUAUUAAGAUCUUUUGUGUGUAAAACAUAAGUUCGACUUUGCCCUGAAGAAGUAGAAAUAUAUCUACGAAACGUU